RNAcentral lists this ribosomal RNA (447 nucleotides) under uncultured bacterium. RNAcentral's name for it is "partial 16S ribosomal RNA". It matches the Rfam family "Bacterial small subunit ribosomal RNA", at positions 28 to 507 of the family's 1533-position model. The record is from RNAcentral.
GAUGAACGCUGGCGACGUGCCUAAUGCAUGCAAGUCGGACGCAGAACCUUCGGUACCUGAGUGGCGGACGGCUGAGGAACUCGUGGGUAUCUGCCUGGCAGCGGGGGAUAACGGGCCGACAGGUCCGCUAAGCCCGCCUACGUUCCCUCUUUGGAGGGAAGAAAGCAGCAAUGCGCUGCAAGGGGAGCCUGCGGCCCAUCAGAUAGUGGGCGGGGUAAUGGCCCACCAAGUCGCUGACCGCUCCCUGGUCUGAGAGGACGACCAGUGAGACUUGGACUGCGACACGGUCCAGACUCCUACGGGAGGCAGCAGCACGGGAUUGACGGCAAUGGGCGCUAGGCUGACUGGGCAACGUCGGGUGGAGGAGGAGGGCUGUCGGGUUGUAAACGCCUUUUGGGGGGGAGGAUUGUGAUGGUAACCCUUGAAUAAGCCCCGGCUAACUCCGUG